UACGAAGGGGGCUAGCGUUGCUCGGAAUUACUGGGCGUAAAGCGCACGUAGGCGGCUUUCUAAGUCGGGGGUGAAAUCCUGGAGCUCAACUCCAGAACUGCCUUCGAUACUGGAGAGCUCGAGUCCGGGAGAGGUGAGUGGAACUGCGAGUGUAGAGGUGAAAUUCGUAGAUAUUCGGAAGAACACCAGUGGCGAAGGCGGCUCACUGGCCCGGUACUGACGCUGAGGUGCGAAAGCGUGGGGAGCAAACAGGG
RNAcentral lists this ribosomal RNA (254 nucleotides) under uncultured bacterium. RNAcentral describes it as "partial 16S ribosomal RNA". It matches the Rfam family "Bacterial small subunit ribosomal RNA", at positions 524 to 777 of the family's 1533-position model. The record is from RNAcentral.